GGAGCGGGCCGGGCGGCCGCGCGGGUCUCUUGUUAGACCCGUGAGGAAAGUCCGGACUCCACAGGGCAGGGUGCCUGCUAACGGCAGGGCGGCGCGAGCCGACGGAAAGUGCCACAGAAAAGAAGACUCCGGAUCUACGGGUCCGGAAAAGCUGAAACGGUGCGGUAAGAGCGCACCAGCGUCACGGUGACGUGGCGGCUUGGCAAACCCCACCCGGAGCAAGGGCGAAUAGGAGCGAUCAAGGCCGGCCCGGCCGACGCUCGGGUUAGCCCGCGAGAGGCCGACGGCGACGUCGGUCCCAGAUAGAUGGUCGUCCACGACAGAAUCCGGCUUACAGGCCCGCUCCCACU
RNAcentral lists this RNase P RNA (350 nucleotides) under Coriobacteriia bacterium. Its description in RNAcentral is "RNase P RNA component class A". It matches the Rfam family "Bacterial RNase P class A". Rfam says of the family: Ribonuclease P (RNase P) is a ubiquitous endoribonuclease, found in archaea, bacteria and eukarya as well as chloroplasts and mitochondria. Its best characterised activity is the generation of mature 5'-ends of tRNAs by cleaving the 5'-leader elements of precursor-tRNAs. The record is from RNAcentral. Lineage: Bacteria; Bacillati; Actinomycetota; Coriobacteriia.